CCUACGUGAGGCAGCAGUGAGGAAUAUUUGUCAAUGGGCGCGAGCCUGAACCAGCCAAGUAGCGUGCAUGAUGACUGCCCUACGGGUUGGAAAUUUCUUUUAUAAAGGAAUAAAGUGAGGCACGUGUUCCUUUUUGUAUGUAUUUUAUGAAUAAGGAUCGGCUAACUCCGUGCCAGCAGCCGCGGUAAUACGGAGGAUCCGAGUGUUAUCCGGAUUUAUUGGGUUUAACGGGAGCGUAGAUGGGUUGUUAAGUCAGUUGUGAAAGUUUGCGGCUCAACAGUAAAAUUGCAAUUGAUACUGGCAGUCUUGAGUACAGUUGAGGUAGGCGGAAUUCGUGGUGUAGCAGUGAGAUGCUUAGAUAUCACGAAGAACUCCGAUUGCGAAGGCAGCUUACUAAAAUGCCACUGACAUUGAUGCUCGAAAGUGUGGGUAUCAAACAGGAUUAGAUACCCUGGUAGUC
This 460-nucleotide ribosomal RNA is filed under the name uncultured bacterium. RNAcentral's name for it is "partial 16S ribosomal RNA". It matches the Rfam family "Bacterial small subunit ribosomal RNA", at positions 338 to 795 of the family's 1533-position model. The record is from RNAcentral.